Long non-coding RNA from Nematostella vectensis (starlet sea anemone), 616 nucleotides. RefSeq lists it as uncharacterized. NCBI's taxonomy places the organism in Eukaryota, Metazoa, Cnidaria, Anthozoa, Actiniaria, Edwardsiidae. The transcript is spliced from 2 exons. The record is from RefSeq and is a predicted model, not a curated record.
ACUGAGAAUGGAAGUGUAUGGUUAUGACGCGGACUAAUUGUGUUCUGUCCAUUAAUCUACAAGACACUGUUGAAGGACAAGAAUUACAGAUGAAGCGCACAAAAUAAAAAGAUGCACAGUUCAUGGGAUAGGGAUUAUGUAUUAGAGGCAAUUCACAGUACACACUAGGAAUAGGGGCUGAGAAAGAGGAUGCACAGUUCGCUAGAAACAGAUCAUGUUGUAGAAAAUAAUUAAAAGUUCUUUUAAUAGUGCUCAUGUUAUAAAAGAGAAUUCACAUUUCGCUCAAAACAGAUCAUGUUGUAUAAAGAGAAUUAAAAGUUCGCUUAAAAGCGCUCAUGAUAUAAAAGAGAAUUCACAUUUCACUAGAAACAGAUCUUGUUGUAUAAAGAGAAUUAAAAGUUCGCUUAAAAGUGCUCAUGUUAUAAAAAAGAAUUCACAUAUUGCAAAAGCUCUAAACUCAACACUAAAAUGAAUUGUGAAACGUUUAACUUCUUCAUUUUCGUCCUUAUCCGACCUUGGUAAUAAUUCCGCAUCAAAAUAAGGUGAUGGGUGCAUGUUGUAAAAAUCGAAGUCAUGUUAGGAUUGUAAUAAUAAACAUUACCAACUGAUGUCGAAA